CUGCGCACUCCUACGGGAGGCAGCAGUGGGGAAUAUUGCACAAUGGGCGCAAGCCUGAUGCAGCCAUGCCGCGUGUAUGAAGAAGGCCUUCGGGUUGUAAAGUACUUUCAGCAGUGAGGAAGGUGGAUAUGUUAAUAGCAUAUUCAUUUGACGUUAGCUGCAGAAGAAGCACCGGCUAACUCCGUGCCAGCAGCCGCGGUAAUACGGAGGGUGCGAGCGUUAAUCGGAAUUACUGGGCGUAAAGCGCAUGCAGGUGGUUUGUUAAGUCAGAUGUGAAAGCCCGGGGCUCAACCUCGGAAUUGCAUUUGAAACUGGCAAACUAGAGUACUGUAGAGGGGGUAGAAUUUCAGGUGUAGCGGUGAAAUGCGUAGAGAUCUGAAGGAAUACCGGUGGCGAAGGCGGCCCCCUGGACAGAUACUGACACUCAGAUGCGAAAGCGUGGGGAGCAAACAGGAUUAGAUACCCUGGUAG
RNAcentral lists this ribosomal RNA (471 nucleotides) under uncultured bacterium. RNAcentral's name for it is "bacterial SSU rRNA". It matches the Rfam family "Bacterial small subunit ribosomal RNA", at positions 329 to 793 of the family's 1533-position model. The record is from RNAcentral.